Long non-coding RNA from Rhipicephalus sanguineus (brown dog tick), 543 nucleotides. RefSeq lists it as uncharacterized. The record is from RefSeq and is a predicted model, not a curated record. The transcript is spliced from 2 exons. NCBI's taxonomy places the organism in Eukaryota, Metazoa, Arthropoda, Arachnida, Ixodida, Ixodidae.
UUUCAUCAGUAGGACCGGGAUUCUGCUCGACGUCUCCGCACAACGUCAAAAACAAGGCACAGAAAGGAUCAAGCAGAACACUGGGGCAUGGAAGCACAACAAUGCAUCGGUUGUCUGAUCGAAGAGACUUAACAGGUGGUAAUGAACUGCAACUAACCUGCGUAACGAUGAAUAAGAAGCGCGAGUGCCACAUUUUGGUUGUGCGUCCAUGCCCACUGGUGAUAAGAUCCGUUGGAUGGGCUCUUAAAGGAUCCGGCAGGUGAGAAGUCGAUGUCGCUGUGGCUGUGACACUCCGAGGAAAGGCAAACUGUGGGAAAUGGGACGUGGCACUGCUGACCGUCAGCAGCGAGAGCGGUCGUGCGCCACCAACACACCAGUCAGGGGUGUCGCAUGAGGGUCCCUUGUCGAAACCACCAUCCGUCGAAACCGUGAACGCGGCGCCGUCCGCGCAGCCGGCAAAUCCAACGAAACCAAGAAGCUGCGUAACGAUGAAUAAGAAGCCUGAGUGCCACAUUUUGGUUGUGCGUCCAUGCCCACAGGCGA